GGGCCCGCACAAGCGGUGGAGCAUGGGGUUUAAUUCGACGAUACGCGAAAACCUUACCUAUCCUUGACAUCCUUGGAAUCGUCCUUCACAGGACGAGUGCCUUCGGGAACCAAGUGACAGGUGUUGCAUGGCUGUCGUCAGCUCGUGUCGUGAGAUGUUGGGUUAAGUCCCGUAACGAGCGCAACCCCUAUUCUUAGUUGCCAGCACGUCAUGGUGGGGACUCUAAGAAACUGCCGGUGAUAAACCGGAGGAAGGUGGGGACGAGGUCAAGUCAUCAUGGCCCUUAUGGGUAGGGCUACACCCGUGCUACAAUGGACAGUACAAUAGGUUGCAAAGCCGUGAGGCAGAGCUAAUCCUAAAAGCUGUUCCCAGUCCGGAUUGGAGUCUGAAACUCGACUCCAUGAAGUCGGAAUC
RNAcentral lists this ribosomal RNA (414 nucleotides) under uncultured bacterium. RNAcentral's name for it is "bacterial SSU rRNA". It matches the Rfam family "Bacterial small subunit ribosomal RNA", at positions 917 to 1333 of the family's 1533-position model. The record is from RNAcentral.